UACGGAGGAGGCAAGCGUUAUCCGGAAUUAUUGGGCGUAAAGCGUCCGCAGGUGGCACUUCAAGUCUGUCGUCAAAGACUGGGGCUUAACCCUGGAAAGGCGGUGGAAACUGAAGCGCUAGAGUGCGGUAGGGGUAGAGGGAAUUCCCGGUGUAGCGGUGAAAUGCGUAGAGAUCAGGAAGAACACCGGUGGCGAAAGCGCUCUGCUGGACCUUAACUGACACUGAGGGACGAAAGCUAGGGGAGCGAAUGGG
Molecule: ribosomal RNA, 253 nt
Filed under: uncultured bacterium
Lineage: Bacteria
Description: partial 16S ribosomal RNA
Rfam family: Bacterial small subunit ribosomal RNA
Source: RNAcentral